UGGAAUGUAAAGAAGUACGGCG
RNAcentral lists this microRNA (22 nucleotides) under Limulus polyphemus (Atlantic horseshoe crab). Lineage: Eukaryota; Metazoa; Arthropoda; Merostomata; Xiphosura; Limulidae. The record is from RNAcentral.